GCCUGGGUAGCUCAGUCGGUAAAACAUCUGACUUUGGCUCAGGUCAUGAUGUCACAGGUCAUGGGUUCAAGCCCCAUGUCGGGCU
This 85-nucleotide transfer RNA is filed under the name Felis catus (domestic cat). It matches the Rfam family "tRNA". Rfam says of the family: Transfer RNA (tRNA) molecules are approximately 80 nucleotides in length. Their secondary structure includes four short double-helical elements and three loops (D, anti-codon, and T loops). RNAcentral also lists the same sequence under 2 other names. Lineage: Eukaryota; Metazoa; Chordata; Mammalia; Carnivora; Felidae. The record is from Rfam by way of RNAcentral.